This 253-nucleotide ribosomal RNA is filed under the name uncultured bacterium. Its description in RNAcentral is "partial 16S ribosomal RNA". It matches the Rfam family "Bacterial small subunit ribosomal RNA", at positions 524 to 776 of the family's 1533-position model. The record is from RNAcentral.
UACGAAGGGGGCUAGCGUUGCUCGGAAUCACUGGGCGUAAAGCGCACGUAGGCGGCUUCUUAAGUCAGGGGUGAAAUCCUGGAGCUCAACUCCAGAACUGCCUUUGAUACUGAGGAGCUCGAGUCCGGGAGAGGUGAGUGGAACUCCGAGUGUAGAGGUGAGAUUCGUAGAUAUUCGGAAGAACACCAGUGGCGAAGGCGGCUCACUGGCCCGGUACUGACGCUGAGGUGCGAAAGCGUGGGGAGCAAACAGG